RNAcentral lists this ribosomal RNA (656 nucleotides) under Salmonella enterica. Its description in RNAcentral is "partial 23S ribosomal RNA". It matches the Rfam family "Bacterial large subunit ribosomal RNA", at positions 1 to 688 of the family's 2925-position model. RNAcentral also lists the same sequence under 5 other names. Lineage: Bacteria; Pseudomonadati; Pseudomonadota; Gammaproteobacteria; Enterobacterales; Enterobacteriaceae. The record is from RNAcentral.
GGGUUGUGAGGUUAAGCGACUAAGCGUACACGGUGGAUGCCCUGGCAGUCAGAGGCGAUGAAGGGCGUGCUAAUCUGCGAUAAGCGCCGGUAAGGUGAUAUGAACCGUUAUAACCGGCGAUACCCGAAUGGGGAAACCCAGUGUGAUUCGUCACACUAUCAUUAACUGAAUCCAUAGGUUAAUGAGGCGAACCGGGGGAACUGAAACAUCUAAGUACCCCGAGGAAAAGAAAUCAACCGAGAUUCCCCCAGUAGCGGCGAGCGAACGGGGAGGAGCCCAGAGCCUGAAUCAGCAUGUGUGUUAGUGGAAGCGUCUGGAAAGGCGCGCGAUACAGGGUGACAGCCCCGUACACAAAAGCGCAUGUGCUGUGAGCUCGAUGAGUAGGGCGGGACACGUGGUAUCCUGUCUGAAUAUGGGGGGACCAUCCUCCAAGGCUAAAUACUCCUGACUGACCGAUAGUGAACCAGUACCGUGAGGGAAAGGCGAAAAGAACCCCGGCGAGGGGAGUGAAAAAGAACCUGAAACCGUGUACGUACAAGCAGUGGGAGCACAGGUUUACCUGUGUGACUGCGUACCUUUUGUAUAAUGGGUCAGCGACUUAUAUUCUGUAGCAAGGUUAACCGUAUAGGGGAGCCGUAGGGAAACCGAGUCUUAAC